GAUGAAGAACGCAGUGAAAUGCGAUAAGUAAUGUGAAUUGCAGAAUUCAGUGAAUCAUCGAAUCUUUGAACGCAUCUUGCGCUCCUUGGUAUUCUGAGGAGCAUGCCUGUUUGAGUGUCAUUAAAUUCUCAACUACACUGACUUUGAAUUGGUGUGGCUUGGAUUUGGGUGGGAAAAUUGUUGUGGGCUUUUUGUAUAGUCUGCUCCCCUGAAAUUGAUUAGCGGUACCUUUGUGGUACUGUCUACAGGUGUGAUAAUUAUCUACAUCCUAGACAUCUGCUGGAAUGCUGCUUUCUAAACCUUACUUGUAUUGACAAUCUUGACCUCAAAUCAGGUAGGACUACCCGCUGAACUUAAGCAUAUCAAUAAGCGGAGGA
This 377-nucleotide unclassified non-coding RNA is filed under the name soil metagenome. Its description in RNAcentral is "partial contains 5.8S ribosomal RNA, internal transcribed spacer 2, and large subunit ribosomal RNA". The stretch from base 1 to 120 matches the Rfam family "5.8S ribosomal RNA", at positions 35 to 154 of the family's 154-position model. The record is from RNAcentral.